Molecule: ribosomal RNA, 117 nt
Filed under: Meriones unguiculatus (Mongolian gerbil)
Lineage: Eukaryota; Metazoa; Chordata; Mammalia; Rodentia; Muridae
Source: RNAcentral
GUCUUGGGCCAUAUCUCCCUGGCUGCACCGGAUCUCACUGGCCUCGGAAGCUCAGCAGGCCUGGCCUGGCUAGAACUUGGACGGGAGAUCACAGAGGCCUAGCGAGCUCCCCAGCUA